Molecule: ribosomal RNA, 388 nt
Filed under: uncultured bacterium
Lineage: Bacteria
Description: bacterial SSU rRNA
Rfam family: Bacterial small subunit ribosomal RNA
Source: RNAcentral
GACGAACGCUGGCGGCGUGCUUAACACAUGCAAGUCGAGCGGUAAGGCCCUUUCGGGGGUACACGAGCGGCGAACGGGUGAGUAACACGUGGGUGACCUGCCCUCAGCUCUGGGAUAAGCCUGGGAAACCGGGUCUAAUACCGGAUAUGACUCCAUGACGCAUGUUGUGGGGUGGAAAGCCUUGUGCGGCUGAGGAUGGGCCCGCGGCCUAUCAGCUUGUUGGUGGGGUGAUGGCCUACCAAGGCGACGACGGGUAGCCGGCCUGAGAGGGCGACCGGCCACACUGGGACUGAGACACGGCCCAGACUCCCACGGGAGGCAGCAGUGGGGAAUCUUGCGCAAUGGGCGAAAGCCUGACGCAGCGACGCCGCGUGAGGGAUGACGGCCU